RNAcentral lists this ribosomal RNA (253 nucleotides) under uncultured bacterium. Its description in RNAcentral is "partial 16S ribosomal RNA". It matches the Rfam family "Bacterial small subunit ribosomal RNA", at positions 524 to 776 of the family's 1533-position model. The record is from RNAcentral.
UACGUAGGGGGCAAGCGUUGUCCGGAAUCAUUGGGCGUAAAGCGCGUGUAGGCGGUCCGGUAAGUCGGCUGUGAAAGUCCAGGGCUCAACCCUGGGAUGCCGGUGGAUACUGUCGGACUAGAGUACGGAAGAGGCGAGUGGAAUUCCUGGUGUAGCGGUGAAAUGCGCAGAUAUCAGGAGGAACACCAAUUGCGAAGGCAGCUCGCUGGGACGUUACUGACGCUGAGACGCGAAAGCGUGGGGAGCAAACAGG